AUAGUAUACCGGUUGAGUAUCCUAACGGGCUUUUCAACUGGUGCCCAUUAAACUAUAGGAGAUAUGUUAGUGGCCCGUAUAGCUGGCAUUAACGUCCCUGAC
Molecule: regulatory RNA element, 102 nt
Organism: Idiomarina sp. A28L
Lineage: Bacteria; Pseudomonadati; Pseudomonadota; Gammaproteobacteria; Alteromonadales; Idiomarinaceae
Rfam family: Alpha operon ribosome binding site
About the family: The bacterial alpha operon ribosome binding site is surrounded by this complex pseudoknotted structure. Translation of the mRNA produces 4 ribosomal protein products, one of which (S4) acts as a translational repressor by binding to the nested pseudoknot region.
Source: Rfam